Molecule: ribosomal RNA, 468 nt
Filed under: uncultured bacterium
Lineage: Bacteria
Description: partial 16S ribosomal RNA
Rfam family: Bacterial small subunit ribosomal RNA
Source: RNAcentral
GACGAACGCUGGCGGCGUGCUUAACACAUGCAAGUCGAACGGAAAGGCCCUGCUUUUGUGGGGUGCUCGAGUGGCGAACGGGUGAGUAACACGUGAGUAACCUGCCCUUGACUUUGGGAUAACUUCAGGAAACUGGGGCUAAUACCGGAUAGGAGCUCCUGCUGCAUGGUGGGGGUUGGAAAGUUUCGGCGGUUGGGGAUGGACUCGCGGCUUAUCAGCUUGUUGGGGGGGUAGUGGCUUACCAAGGCUUUGACGGGUAGCCGGCCUGAGAGGGUGACCGGCCUCAUGGGGCCUGAGAGACGGCCCAGACGCCAACGGGAGGCAGCAGGCGGGAAUAUUGCACAAUGGGCGGAAGCCUGAUGCAGCAACGCCGCGUGCGGGAUGACGGCCUUCGGGGUGUAAACCGCUUUCGCCGGUGACGAAGCGUGAGUGACGGUAAUGGGUAAAGAAGCACCGGCUAACUACGUG